RNAcentral lists this ribosomal RNA (810 nucleotides) under uncultured Alteromonas sp. Its description in RNAcentral is "bacterial SSU rRNA". It matches the Rfam family "Bacterial small subunit ribosomal RNA", at positions 115 to 927 of the family's 1533-position model. The record is from RNAcentral. Lineage: Bacteria; Pseudomonadati; Pseudomonadota; Gammaproteobacteria; Alteromonadales; Alteromonadaceae.
GCUUGGGAACUUGCCUUUGCGAGGGGGAUAACAGUUGGAAACGACUGCUAAUACCGCAUAAUGUCUUCGGACCAAACGGGGCUUCGGCUCCGGCGCAAAGAGAGGCCCAAGUGAGAUUAGCUAGUUGGUAAGGUAAAGGCUUACCAAGGCGACGAUCUCUAGCUGUUCUGAGAGGAAGAUCAGCCACACUGGGACUGAGACACGGCCCAGACUCCUACGGGAGGCAGCAGUGGGGAAUAUUGCACAAUGGGGGAAACCCUGAUGCAGCCAUGCCGCGUGUGUGAAGAAGGCCUUCGGGUUGUAAAGCACUUUCAGUUGUGAGGAAAAGUUAGUAGUUAAUACCUGCUAGCCGUGACGUUAACAACAGAAGAAGCACCGGCUAACUCCGUGCCAGCAGCCGCGGUAAUACGGAGGGUGCGAGCGUUAAUCGGAAUUACUGGGCGUAAAGCGCACGCAGGCGGUUUGUUAAGCUAGAUGUGAAAGCCCCGGGCUCAACCUGGGAUGGUCAUUUAGAACUGGCAGACUAGAGUCUUGGAGAGGGGAGUGGAAUUCCAGGUGUAGCGGUGAAAUGCGUAGAUAUCUGGAGGAACAUCAGUGGCGAAGGCGACUCCCUGGCCAAAGACUGACGCUCAUGUGCGAAAGUGUGGGUAGCGAACAGGAUUAGAUACCCUGGUAGUCCACACCGUAAACGCUGUCUACUAGCUGUGUGUGUCUUUAAGACGUGCGUAGCGAAGCUAACGCGCUAAGUAGACCGCCUGGGGAGUACGGCCGCAAGGUUAAAACUCAAAUGAAUUGACGGGGGCCCGCACA